AAUAUUUGACGAUGGGGGGAACCUUUAUCUAGCCAUGCCGCGUUUGUGAAGUAGUACUUCGGUUUGUAAAGCAUUUUAAGUUGUUAGGCAGAGUUGUAUGCUUAUACUUUUCAAUUUUGACGUUACCCACAGAUUAAGCACCGGCAAACUUCGUGCCAGCAGCCGCGGUAAUACGAAGGGUGCAAGCGUUAAUCGGAAUUACUGGGCGUAAAGCGCGCGUAGGUGGUUCGUUAAGUUGGAAGUGAAAGCCCCGGGCUUAAACUGGGAAUUGCGUUCAAAACUGACGAGCUAGAGUACGGUAGAGGGUAGUGGAAUUUCCUGUGUAGCGGUGAAAUGCGUAGAUAUAGGAAGGAACAUCAGUGGCGAAGGCGACUACCUGGACUGAUACUGACACUGAGGUGCGAAAGCGUGGGGAGCAAACAGG
Molecule: ribosomal RNA, 424 nt
Filed under: uncultured bacterium
Lineage: Bacteria
Description: partial 16S ribosomal RNA
Rfam family: Bacterial small subunit ribosomal RNA
Source: RNAcentral